Molecule: ribosomal RNA, 301 nt
Filed under: uncultured bacterium
Lineage: Bacteria
Description: partial 16S ribosomal RNA
Rfam family: Bacterial small subunit ribosomal RNA
Source: RNAcentral
CAGUAGCCGCGGGAACACGUAGGUGGCAAGCGUUGUCCGGAAUUAUUGGGCGUAAAGGGCUCGCAGGCGGUUUCUUAAGUCUGAUGUGAAAGCCCCCGGCUCAACCGGGGAGGGUCAUUGGAAACUGGGAAACUUGAGUGCAGAAGAGGAGAGUGGAAUUCCACGUGUAGCGGUGAAAUGCGUAGAGAUGUGGAGGAACACCAGUGGCGAAGGCGACUCUCUGGUCUGUAACCGACGCUGAGGAGCGAAAGCGUGGGGAGCGAACAGGAUUAGAGACCCGCGUAGUCCCUGUCUCUUAUAC